GUGGGGAAUCUUCCGCAAUGGACGAAAGUCUGACGGAGCAACGCCGCGUGAGUGAAGAAGGGUUUCGGCUCGUAAAGCUCUGUUGUCGGGGACGAAUGUGCAGUAUUUGAAUAAAGUACUGCAAUGACGGUACCUGACGAGGAAGCCACGGCUAACUACGUGCCAGCAGCCGCGGUAAUACGUAGGUGGCAAGCGUUGUCCGGAAUUAUUGGGCGUAAAGGGAGCGCAGGCGGGAAGGUAAGUCGGUCUUAAAAGUGCGGGGCUCAACCCCGUGAUGGGAUCGAAACUAUCUUUCUUGAGUGCAGGAGAGGAAAGUGGAAUUCCUAGUGUAGCGGUGAAAUGCGUAGAUAUUAGGAGGAACACCAGUGGCGAAGGCGACUUUCUGGACUGUAACUGACGCUGAGGCUCGAAAGCCAGGGGAGCGAACGGGAUUAGAUACCCGGGUAGUCC
This 450-nucleotide ribosomal RNA is filed under the name uncultured bacterium. RNAcentral's name for it is "partial 16S ribosomal RNA". It matches the Rfam family "Bacterial small subunit ribosomal RNA", at positions 354 to 796 of the family's 1533-position model. The record is from RNAcentral.